UACGUAGGGGGCUAGCGUUGUCCGGAAUCAUUGGGCGUAAAGCGCGUGUAGGCGGCCCGGUAAGUCCGCUCUGAAAGUCGGGGGCUCAACCCUCGGAUGCGGGUGGAUACUGUCGGGCUUGAGUGCGGAAGAGGCGAGUGGAAUUCUCGGUGUAGCGGUGAAAUGCGUAGAUAUCGAGAGGAACACCGGCGGCGAAGGCGGGUUGCUGGGCCGACACUGACGCUGAGGCGCGAAAGCUAGGGGAGCGAACGGG
Molecule: ribosomal RNA, 253 nt
Filed under: uncultured bacterium
Lineage: Bacteria
Description: partial 16S ribosomal RNA
Rfam family: Bacterial small subunit ribosomal RNA
Source: RNAcentral